RNAcentral lists this non-coding RNA (147 nucleotides) under human gut metagenome. The record is from RNAcentral.
CCUGCAAUUCCGUUUGCAGUAGUCUGAGGGUACGUGCAUUAUGAGUAAUCAUUUUGUGCGAAGCUACCCUGACAAAGUACCCUUUCCGAAAGGAACAGACCAAAGCGUGAGCCGAGGUCAAUGGCGGAUAACAUCGUUCUGCCGAGG